This 460-nucleotide ribosomal RNA is filed under the name uncultured bacterium. RNAcentral describes it as "partial 16S ribosomal RNA". It matches the Rfam family "Bacterial small subunit ribosomal RNA", at positions 28 to 507 of the family's 1533-position model. The record is from RNAcentral.
GACGAACGCUGGCGGCGUGCUUAACACAUGCAAGUCGAGCGGUACGGCCUCUUCGGGGGUCCCCGAGCGGCGUACGGGUGGGUAACCCGUGGGUGACCUGCCCUCAGCUCUCGGAUAGGCGUGCGAAACUGGGUCUAUUACCGGAUACGACCUUUCCUUCCCUGGGGGUUGGUGGCAAGUUUUUUUGGCUGGGGGUGGGCGCGGGGUCUAACAGCUUGUUGGUGAGGUGAUUGCCUACCAAGGCGGCGGCGGCUAGCCGGCCUGGGGGGGCGGCCGGCCACACUGGGACUGGGGCCCCGGCCAGGCUCCUACGGGAAGGAGGAGGGGGGAAAAUUGCGCAAUGGGCGGAAGGCUGGCGCAGGCAAGGCGGGGGGAGGGUGGCGGCCCUCAGGGUUGUAAAGUCUUUCUACCCCGGCGGAUUUUGACGGUAGCGGGAGAAGAAGCACCGGCUAACUACGUG